RNAcentral lists this ribosomal RNA (476 nucleotides) under uncultured bacterium. Its description in RNAcentral is "bacterial SSU rRNA". It matches the Rfam family "Bacterial small subunit ribosomal RNA", at positions 29 to 507 of the family's 1533-position model. The record is from RNAcentral.
AGUGAACGCUGGCGGCAGGCCUAACACAUGCAAGUCGAGCGGCAGCGCGUCCGACCACCCUCGGGUGGUCGGACGGCGGCGAGCGGCGGACGGGUGAGGAAUGCAUCGGAAUCUGCCUCGUUGUGGGGGAUAACGUAGGGAAACUUACGCUAAUACCGCAUACGACCUACGGGUGAAAGUGGGGGACCUUCGGGCCUCACGCGAUGAGAUGAGCCGAUGCCGGAUUAGCUAGUUGGCGGGGUAAAGGCCCACCAAGGCGACGAUCGAUAGCUGGUCUGAGAGGACGAUCAGCCACACUGGGACUGAGACACGGCCCAGACUUCUACGGAAGGCAGCAGUGGGGAAUUUUCCGCAAUGGGCGAAAGCCUGACGGAGCGACGCCGCGUGGAGGAAGACGUAUUUCGGUAUGUAAACUCCUUUUGUCAGGGACGAAAAAAAUGACGGUACCUGAAGAAUAAGCAUCGGCUAACUACGUG